RNAcentral lists this ribosomal RNA (914 nucleotides) under uncultured archaeon. RNAcentral describes it as "bacterial SSU rRNA". It matches the Rfam family "Archaeal small subunit ribosomal RNA", at positions 1 to 922 of the family's 1478-position model. The record is from RNAcentral.
UUCCGGUUGAUCCUGCCGGACCCCACUGCUAUCGGGAUGGGACUAAGACAUGCUAGUCGUUCCAGCAAUGUGAAGCAUACAGCUCAGUAACACGUGGCUAACCUGCCCUUGGGACGGGAACACCCCCGGGAAACUGGGGCUAAUCCCCGAUAGGUGAAGAACUCUGGAAUGAGUCUUCGCCCAAAAGGCCUGGCGCCCAAGGAUGGGGCCGCGACCGAUCAGGUUGUUGGUGAGGUAACGGCCCACCAAGCCUAUAACCGGUGCGGGCCGUGAGAGCGGGAGCCCGGAGAUGGGCACUGAGACAAGGGCCCAGGUCCUACGGGGCGCAGCAGUCGCGAAACCUUUGCAAUACACGAAAGUGUGACAGGGUCAUCCCGAGUGCCGACCGCUGAGGUUGGCUUUUACCCAGUCUAGAAAGCUGGGGGAAUAAGGAGAGGGCAAGUUCUGGUGUCAGCCGCCGCGGUAAAACCAGCUCUCCGAGUGGUGUGGACGUUUAUUGGGCCUAAAGCAUCCGUAGCUGGCUGAACAAGUCCCCUGUUAAACCCACCGAUUUAAUCGUUGGAGUGCGGGGGAUACUGCUCGGCUAGGGGACGGGAGAGGCAGACGGUAUUUUCGGGGUAGGGGUGAAAUCCUAUAAUCCCGGGAGGACCACCAGUGGCGAAGGCUGUCUGCUAGAACGUGCCCGACGGUGAGGGAUGAAAGCUGGGGGAGCGAACCGGAUUAGAUACCCGGGUAGUCCCAGCUGUAAACGAUGCAGGCUAGGUGUUUGGGCGGCCACGUGCCGCUCUAGUGCCGCAGGGAAGCCAUUAAGCCCGCCGCCUGGGGAGUACGGCCGCAAGGCUGAAACUUAAAGGAAUUGGCGGGGGAGCACCACAAGGCGUGAAGCUUGCGGUUCAAUUGGAGUCAACGCCGGA